Non-coding RNA from Vicia faba (fava bean), 255 nucleotides. The record is from the annotation of a GenBank genome assembly. NCBI's taxonomy places the organism in Eukaryota, Viridiplantae, Streptophyta, Magnoliopsida, Fabales, Fabaceae.
AUGGCCAGCCUCCGACGCCUUAGCCGCCGCCGAAACCCAUCCACAGAUCCGCCUCCAACCUCCAAGCCACGCGUUCUGCAUAUCCACAGACACUCAGCCGCGAAACCGACGACACAAAAUCCACACCAUCGUUAUCGGAUGUACCUCCGCGCGACGAUUCCGCCGGCCAUCCUCUUCGUAAGGGAGGUAAAGGCAAUGAGAUUUAACAAGUUGCUCCAUGGGUUCAUGAGUUUAUUUCCACGCCCUAGUCAAUAA